Molecule: non-coding RNA, 645 nt
Organism: Carica papaya (papaya)
Lineage: Eukaryota; Viridiplantae; Streptophyta; Magnoliopsida; Brassicales; Caricaceae
Source: RefSeq, a predicted model, not a curated record
AAAACAGUUUGCUUCCCACCAUCUGAAUAUCUAUCGCAGACAAUUCUAUAGCGGACUCAGAAAUAUCAAAGCGAUAGUUUUUCCAAAAUUAUAGUCUUGACCUGCAUCAUAUUUUCUUGUGUCUGUUCUUUUUCAUGUGUUAAAACUGAUAAACAAGUUUUGAAUGGAAGCAAAGACCUUUGAUUACCGCUAGAUGGUUGAUGUAGACUGAGUAUUUAUCUUUCUUUCUUCUUAUGUUUACUAAAGGCUUCCAGUGAAGACUCUUCAGCUAGAACAAAUGGCAGUAAUGGGAAGGGCUGAAGAGCCAUCUGUUGUUGCUAGCCGAAUGCGAUUGGUUUUUGGCACUCUUGAGGUUGUGAGUCCACAAUGGCCAAGAGUCUAGUUCCGAACUCCAAAUAGCAAGAGAAACAUGUUUUCCCAGAUCUUGUAUCAAACAUCCGGAUUAAUUGCAAGAUGUAUAUUAUCAUAGUUUAACACAAAAUCAUUGUCGAUUUUUUAUAACUGGCAAGUGGUCUAUAACAUAUGGUACUUUUAGAGGAACGGAGUUGGGUUCUCUAUUUAUUUCUUCCAACUGGCUGUUUCGAUGCCACUAUAUCAAUUUGUACAAGAAUUUUUACAUAUACGUCCACUAGUUUCUUCUACAAA